Molecule: long non-coding RNA, 348 nt
Organism: Dama dama (fallow deer)
Lineage: Eukaryota; Metazoa; Chordata; Mammalia; Artiodactyla; Cervidae
Exons: 3
Source: RefSeq, a predicted model, not a curated record
CUUGCCCUUCUCCAGGGGAUCUUGCCAACCCAGGUCUCCCACAUUGCAGGCAGAUUCCUUACCAGCUGAGCCGCAAGGGAAGCCCCUUACAUAUGCUGGGAGAGGUAACAGCAUUGUUAUAUACAGUUGAAGAAGAUCCAGCAGAAUGAAAGAAUGAAGACUGAUGAGAAUGAACAAGAACGAAGCAGAGAGAGCAAUGUUGUUGGAGCAGGACCCUUGCACGGAGUAUACAGUGGAGUUUUCAGGAGACUACAUGAUGUAUGACAUGGCAACAGAUUGAAGGCUGAAGUAGAUCUGAGAAUCCAGCUGUCAUCUGCAAAGCCAGACCUUAAAGAGAUUUAUAAACGU